ACCAACCAGCACCUCAAAACAAAAUACCACAGUAAUCCAGGGGGAGACCGACCACUCCAAGGCUCUUAGCCCAGGGAGUGUUGCUGUUAUCGUAUCAGUCUUCAUUCUGAUUGUCAUCAUUAUUUUUGGAGGAGCAUACCGACACAAAAUGCGUUCAAACUACGGCCGCUUAUUAAACGACGACUACGGCUCUUUAGGGACCUUCCACAACCCCAUGUACGACCCCUGACCUUUCACCGAUCCCUCCAACGUACCAGCCCCCUGCCCCACAUCCCCAGACCCCUCAGGACGCCACGCAGAGGAAACCCUGGAGGGCCGUGUGAAAUUGCUGUUGAGAAAGCCACAGGACGAUGACCCAAACAUUACAAAUUAAUCUGCAGGGACCGGGUUGUCUGUGGUUGCACGCAAUGUCACCGUCCAUAUAUGGCAAGUACCCAGUCACAUUCUGGUUUCUGACCCGCCAGUCUGGUUAGUUCUGGCCAGGGCCGUUUUUAAAGAAUGGUCUCUAAUCUCAAAUCUCUCUGAAUGUUUAUGGAUCUUUAGGAGUUACCUUGCCUUUUCUGUGCCAGAGUUUAACUACUUAAAGAAAAGGAAGAGAAUAAUUUUUGUAGGUUAGAGUAUUCCAAACAAACAAAAUUGUAUUUAUGUGUGUGAGCUUGUGUGAUAGCCUAUGCGUGAUUGUCCAUACGUUUUUUUCUGGUUGAAGAAAAGAGAACCUGAAACAGAACAACAGUAGCCCCCUCGUAGCAGUCUGGUAUUUUAGGUUCUCUUCUGUUCCACGGAGGGCUUUGCUUUUAGUAUUUAAUGUAUUCAGUAACCAACAAUAACCAAUGUUAAAUAAGGGUUUACUUCAUUGAGCUCAGUCAUCUUUUUAACUAGUCCUACGUGAUUGGACAUCAUAAACUUACUACUGCGGUUGAUAAAUAUGGAUCCUUGGUGUGUAAACCUGAUGGAACUAAGGGAAGGUUCAUCACAUCUUAAUUAAAGCUCAUCUGUGGUGAGGUGACUCAUCCCAAUUGCUCUUGUGCAAUAAAGUCAUGUAGUCCUGGGAGAAGCAGUUCACUGGGUGGUUCACAGGUGAUUAAAUGUGUUCAUGUGUGCGUUUACUGGUUCUGGUAUAGAAACACGCACCCCUCUCUUCCAUACAUAUAGUGCCAAAACCCUCUGUGACAUCAGCUAUAUGGAACUAUAUAUAUUACACUGCUUUUAUUAACUAUACACAGCUUCUGUCUCUCCCAUACUAAUGUAUACACACACACCUUCCGUCUCACACCCUCACAGACACACAGCAGCAUUUUAGUGAUCACCUUGUUUUCAUGUUCUCUUAUUAAGCAAUCUCACCUGAGAGGGAGUGCUGCUGAACAUCAGCACGGCUGGGACUGAAGAUAAUCACAGCCGUGCAGACGUUAUGUAAAGCAGCACGACCUACGGUGUGAUACUGCUUUUAUACCACAGUUCUUCAGAUGUGAUUUGUUUGUUUAAAUGUAUUUGAAAAUUUAUUUGCCUCUGACAACAUAAACUGUACCACAAUUGG
Long non-coding RNA from Gadus macrocephalus (Pacific cod), 1534 nucleotides. RefSeq lists it as uncharacterized. The record is from RefSeq and is a predicted model, not a curated record. NCBI's taxonomy places the organism in Eukaryota, Metazoa, Chordata, Actinopteri, Gadiformes, Gadidae. The transcript is spliced from 3 exons.